CUACUUUAAAUUACCAGCCGUAUAUUCCACGGCCCUCCACCAACCUCCUUGCCAAGCUCAAUCUCAAUGGCGUGAUCUCAGGGACGAGGCCCGCUCACGGGUUCCCAAGCUUCAUACACAGCAUGUACAAGGAUGAGUUCAUCUUGACGUACGCCAUCAAGGAGACGGAGCGCAUGGCGGUUGUGAUCCUCAACAACUUCUGCGACCUCAUCGAAGGGGAUGAGGUGGGGGAGACCAGGGAAGUGCUCUUGAGGUCUACACGGUCUGCCGCGCUCACCUUUAUUCGUGCCAUGCUCGACGAGUACUACGGGUAGCCUGAAUCUGUGUAAGGAGCAGGGAGGCGAGGAGUGCCUCAAGUGGCUCCACGGCAAGGAUACCUCCUCCGUCGUGUAACUUUGGAAUCACCGUCGUCAUGAUCAGCGUGCUGAUCGUGGAGUACAUGCGAGGGCCGGCCAAGAGCGGCAGGCAAUUCGUGGAAGCUGACUACAUCUUCCUAAAUCUUCACUGUAUUUUUUUUCCUUUUUGAGUUUCCUCUGCAAAGUGCGUGUAUGGAUUCCUUUCCCCAAGCAUGCUCUACAACUCCAUGUAGGUACUAACGAGUACAGUGCAUUUUGUUUAGUUCUCUUUGCACAUAUUUUUUAUAAUAGUGUAUCAUCUGGAGAUCUAUUAACAUGUUUAUUCAGAAGCAAAUACCAGCAGCUCCUGGAGUACGUCUGUACGUGUUGGGGCUGGCCAACAGCGGCAGGCAGUUCAUGGAUAAUCUGACUAUUUCUUUCUAAAUUUCCUCUGUAUUUUUUCUUUUCAGUUUCCUCUGCUCAUUGCGUGCAUGGAUUCCUUUCACACCCCAAGCAUGUUGUACAACUCCAUGUAGCAGGUAUCGAUUGUUCUUCUCCCGUACAGCAUGGCUGUAGUACGCCGCCGCCGCGAAGGCAUGCAAUACCACAUGGAAGUUGUGCCACCGAUCCAGCUGAUUACCUAGCUUAUGACUUCCUACCAUCACAAGAUUCCUGCUGUAAUGAUUAACGUCUGUUUAAAGUUGCGAUUAAUACCCAGGUCUGUUUGCGUCUCCACUCAAUGUCACCGGCUUUCUAUUUCCUACCUUUUGUGAUUUUUCAUUGGAUUUUCAUAAUCACAGUGAUUAGAUCGACUAGGUCACAGCAAGGUCCAUCGGAGGUAAGCCAUGUAGAUCGAAGUGAAAAAGUAGGACAAUGGAAAUUGCAAGCAAGCGCUACACGAAGAAAGCAAGGAGAGCAGACGGGCCGCCGACUAACGAUCUUUCCAAAGCCUUUGUUUCUCUUUGAGAUAAAGUCAUCCUCCUAUACACGGGAAUAAGAAGCUGGCUAAUGAGGUAUACCUGAACUUCAUUGGCACACCACCAGCCUGGACGAUGUGCAGCGGUAAGCAUGCAACUGAGGGGAAAAGGAAACAUCGAGCAAUGGCAACGUUGUAGUCACAGAGUAGUCCUGUUGCAUAUAUAAGAAGUCAAUUGGGUUAAUGCGGAACUUGCCUAUGAAGAAAAUCACACUUCGACAAGGUUUCAGUUGAAUUCAAAGCAGUGAUUCAAUAUUUCAAUUUGAAGUACGUAAAUAAGAAUGCAUGCAAGCAGGAGAGGAGCAGCCCAUGUUUAAUUAUGUUGUUGUGAUUGAUCGCAGGCAGCAAGGAAGGUAAAUAUGGUCUGCAAGCAGCAGGAUGAUGUUUAUUUCUCAGUUCGUGAUGAUAAUAAAACAGAGUGUUUGAUGCAAUUUUUAGUGCUUGCUAUUCAUCUAAAUAAUGUACUCGGGUCAAGUUCAUUUUUUAUUAAUGUUAAUACAUAUGAUGUA
Molecule: long non-coding RNA, 1820 nt
Organism: Triticum aestivum (bread wheat)
Lineage: Eukaryota; Viridiplantae; Streptophyta; Magnoliopsida; Poales; Poaceae
Exons: 2
Source: RefSeq, a predicted model, not a curated record